AGCGCAUACGGUGGAUGCCUUGGCAGUCAGAGGCGAUGAAAGACGUGGUAGCCUGCGAAAAGCUUCGGGGAGUCGGCAAACAGACUGUGAUCCGGAGAUGUCUGAAUGGGGGAACCCAGCCAUCAUAAGAUGGUUAUCUUGUACUGAAUACAUAGGUGCAAGAGGCGAACCAGGGGAACUGAAACAUCUAAGUACCCUGAGGAAAAGAAAUCAACCGAGAUUCCCUUAGUAGUGGCGAGCGAACGGGGACCAGCCCUUAAGUUGUAUUGAGAUUAGCGGAACGUUCUGGAAAGGACGGCCAUAGUGGGUGAUAGCCCUGUACGCGAAAAUCCCUUUGCAAUGAAAUCGAGUAGGACGGGGCACGAGAAACCUUGUCUGAAUAUGGGGGGACCAUCCUCCAAGGCUAAAUACUACUGACUGACCGAUAGUGAACCAGUACCGUGAGGGAAAGGCGAAAAGAACCGCGGAGAGCGGAGUGAAAUAGAUCCUGAAACCGUAUGCGUACAAGCAGUGGGAGCCCACUUUGUUGGGUGACUGCGUACCUUUUGUAUAAUGGGUCAGCGACUUAUUUUCAGUGGCGAGCUUAACCGAAUAGGGGAGGCGUAGCGAAAGCGAGUCUUAAUAGGGCGUCUAGUCGCUGGGAAUAGACCCGAAACCGGGCGAUCUAUCCAUGGGCAGGUUGAAGGUUGGGUAACACUAACUGGAGGACCGAACCGACUACCGUUGAAAAGUUAGCGGAUGACCUGUGGAUCGGAGUGAAAGGCUAAUCAAGCUCGGAGAUAGCUGGUUCUCCUCGAAAGCUAUUUAGGUAGCGCCUCAUGUAUCACUGUAGGGGGUAGAGCACUGUUUCGGCUAGGGGGUCAUCCCGACUUACCAAACCGAUGCAAACUCCGAAUACCUACAAGUGCCGAGCAUGGGAGACACACGGCGGGUGCUAACGUCCGUCGUGAAAAGGGAAACAACCCAGACCGUCAGCUAAGGUCCCAAAGUCAUGGUUAAGUGGGAAACGAUGUGGGAAGGCUUAGACAGCUAGGAGGUUGGCUUAGAAGCAGCCACCCUUUAAAGAAAGCGUAAUAGCUCACUAGUCGAGUCGGCCUGCGCGGAAGAUGUAACGGGGCUCAAACCAUGCACCGAAGCUACGGGUAUCAUCUUUUGAUGAUGCGGUAGAGGAGCGUUCUGUAAGCCUGUGAAGGUGAGUUGAGAAGCUUGCUGGAGGUAUCAGAAGUGCGAAUGCUGACAUGAGUAACGACAAUGGGUGUGAAAAACACCCACGCCGAAAGACCAAGGUUUCCUGCGCAACGUUAAUCGACGCAGGGUUAGUCGGUCCCUAAGGCGAGGCUGAAAAGCGUAGUCGAUGGAAAACAGGUUAAUAUUCCUGUACUUCUGGUUAUUGCGAUGGAGGGACGGAGAAGGCUAGGCCAGCCUGGCGUUGGUAGUCCAGGUUUAAGGUGGUAGGCUGAGAUCUUAGGUAAAUCCGGGAUCUUAAGGCCGAGAGCUGAUGACGAGUGUUCUUUUAGAACACGAAGUGGUUGAUGCCAUGCUUCCAAGAAAAGCUUCUAAGCUUCAGGUAACCAGGAACCGUACCCCAAACCGACACAGGUGGUUGGGUAGAGAAUACCAAGGCGCUUGAGAGAACUCGGGUGAAGGAACUAGGCAAAAUGGCACCGUAACUUCGGGAGAAGGUGCGCCGGUGGAGGUGAAGCAUUUACUGCGUAAGCCCCUGCCGGUCGAAGAUACCAGGCCGCUGCGACUGUUUAUUAAAAACACAGCACUCUGCAAACACGAAAGUGGACGUAUAGGGUGUGACGCCUGCCCGGUGCCGGAAGGUUAAUUGAUGGGGUUAGCGCAAGCGAAGCUCUUGAUCGAAGCCCCGGUAAACGGCGGCCGUAACUAUAACGGUCCUAAGGUAGCGAAAUUCCUUGUCGGGUAAGUUCCGACCUGCACGAAUGGCGUAACGAUGGCGGCGCUGUCUCCACCCGAGACUCAGUGAAAUUGAAAUCGCUGUGAAGAUGCAGUGUAUCCGCGGCUAGACGGAAAGACCCCGUGAACCUUUACUAUAGCUUUGCACUGGACUUUGAAUUUGCUUGUGUAGGAUAGGUGGGAGGCUUUGAAGCGUGGACGCCAGUCUGCGUGGAGCCAACCUUGAAAUACCACCCUGGCAACUUUGAGGUUCUAACUCAGGUCCGUUAUCCGGAUCGAGGACAGUGUAUGGUGGGUAGUUUGACUGGGGCGGUCUCCUCCUAAAGAGUAACGGAGGAGUACGAAGGUGCGCUCAGACCGGUCGGAAAUCGGUCGUAGAGUAUAAAGGCAAAAGCGCGCUUGACUGCGAGACAGACACGUCGAGCAGGUACGAAAGUAGGUCUUAGUGAUCCGGUGGUUCUGUAUGGAAGGGCCAUCGCUCAACGGAUAAAAGGUACUCCGGGGAUAACAGGCUGAUACCGCCCAAGAGUUCAUAUCGACGGCGGUGUUUGGCACCUCGAUGUCGGCUCAUCACAUCCUGGGGCUGAAGCCGGUCCCAAGGGUAUGGCUGUUCGCCAUUUAAAGUGGUACGCGAGCUGGGUUUAGAACGUCGUGAGACAGUUCGGUCCCUAUCUGCCGUGGACGUUUGAGAUUUGAGAGGGGCUGCUCCUAGUACGAGAGGACCGGAGUGGACGAACCUCUGGUGUUCCGGUUGUCACGCCAGUGGCAUUGCCGGGUAGCUAUGUUCGGAAAAGAUAACCGCUGAAAGCAUCUAAGCGGGAAACUUGCCUCAAGAUGAGAUCUCACUGGAACCUUGAGUUCCCUAAAGGGCCGUCGAAGACUACGACGUUGAUAGGUUGGGUGUGUAAGCGCUGUGAGGCGUUGAGCUAACCAAUACUAAUUGCCCGUGAGGCUUGACC
Molecule: ribosomal RNA, 2879 nt
Filed under: Pseudomonas syringae pv. aptata
Lineage: Bacteria; Pseudomonadati; Pseudomonadota; Gammaproteobacteria; Pseudomonadales; Pseudomonadaceae
Description: bacterial LSU rRNA
Rfam family: Bacterial large subunit ribosomal RNA
Source: RNAcentral